RNA transcript from Trematomus bernacchii (emerald rockcod), 2825 nucleotides. It is a transcript of the gene named D-2-hydroxyglutarate dehydrogenase, with no coding region annotated. The transcript is spliced from 14 exons. NCBI's taxonomy places the organism in Eukaryota, Metazoa, Chordata, Actinopteri, Perciformes, Nototheniidae. The record is from RefSeq and is a predicted model, not a curated record.
GCAAAACAUGCUAGUUGAAUACACUUACUGUGGCAUGUAUAAGUAACUUCUCUGCCCUUGAACUUUGUGACAUAUUUCUCACGGAGAUAUGACAGGAAGAAAGGUACACUGGCGGAGGGAUGCAGGUUGUUAGCUGAACGUUUAUGCCUGUUUUGCCACCUUAACUCCAGUCAUGGCGGGGAUCUUCCAAAGAUCACUAAGGCUGCGGACAGCUCUCAGGCAUCUGAGCCUCCAAAGCCCCCUCUCAUGGACAGUCACAGGAAGACAUACACCUCUGGACCUCCACUGCCCAUUCCUGCCCUCCACCUCAUGGCAGUUUGCAGUCUGCAGUCGAAAGCUGCACACUGGGGGGGACAGGCCCUCUCCUGCUGCUGCCCCAGACCGGCUGCCUUUCUCCAGGAUAACCCAGGAAGAUUUAGCCUUCUUCAGGAAGAUCCUACCAGGCCGAGCCGUCACAGACCCGGACCUGCUGGAGUCCAGUAAUGUGGAUUGGCUCAAGUCAGUGAAAGGCUCCAGUGAAUUGUUGCUGAGACCUCAAACAACUGAAGAAGUUUCUCAAAUUCUCAAGUAUUGUAACAGUCGUAAUCUGGCGGUGAACCCUCAAGGAGGCAACACUGGGCUGGUUGGGGGCAGCGUGCCGGUUUAUGAUGAGAUCAUCCUCUCCACUGCCCUUAUGAACAACAUCCUCACCUUUGAUAGCAUCUCCGGCAUUCUGACCUGUCAGGCAGGCUGUGUUUUGGAGAACUUGUCUCUUUACCUGGAGGACAGAGACUACAUCAUGCCUCUUGAUCUGGGGGCAAAGGGCAGCUGCCACAUUGGGGGAAACGUGGCAACGAAUGCAGGCGGACUCCGUCUGCUGCGAUACGGCUCCUUACGUGGGACUGUGCUGGGUCUGGAAGUGGUGUUGGCAGAUGGGAGAGUGCUGGACUGCUUAUCCACUCUGCGGAAAGAUAACACAGGAUAUGACCUCAAACAGCUGUUCAUAGGGUCAGAGGGCACACUAGGGGUCAUCACUUCAGUGUCCAUCCUCUGUCCACGCAAACCCAAAUCUGUUAAUGUGGUUUUUCUUGGCUGUGAAACCUUUGAGCAGCUGCUGAAGACAUUUCAGCUCUCCAGAGGCAUGCUGGGAGAAAUUCUGUCAGCCUUUGAAUUCCUGGACAGUGAGUGUAUGAGGCUGCUGAAUACGCACCUAAAACUACGCAAUCCCAUCUCUGAUUGUCCAUUCUACGUUGUCAUUGAAACAUCUGGAUCUGACUCGACACAUGACGGGGAGAAACUCCACAAUUUCUUAGAGGAGGCGAUGACGUCAUCGUUGGUGACUGAUGGGACUGUGGCAACUGAAGACUCAAAAAUAAAGGCUCUGUGGUCGAUGCGCGAGCGUGUCACGGAAGCGCUGACUCAUGACGGCUUCACCUACAAGUACGACAUCUCACUUCCUGUGGAGCGGAUCUACCAGCUGGUGACGGACAUGAGGGAGCACCUGGGGGACCGAGCCAAGAGUGUGGUGGGAUACGGACACGUAGGGGAUGGAAAUCUCCACUUGAAUGUCACCUCUCCUGCCAAAGACCCCGCUCUUCUGGCUGCCAUCGAGCCCUUCGUGUACGAGUGGACGGCCAGCUGUAACGGCAGCAUCAGUGCAGAGCACGGCCUGGGCCUGAAGAAGAGGAACUACAUCUACUACAGUAAACCCAGCCAGGCUGUGGCUCUGAUGGGGAACAUCAAGGCCAUGCUGGACCCUAAGGGCAUCCUCAACCCGUACAAGACUCUACCAGACGACCUUAAAUGACCCCAACUGUCUCACUGCUGUGGGGUUAGAGGAGAGCUGUGGAUCUUGUCCAGGGUCUUCUUGAUGCGCAGCGCUGUGAGCCGUGCAGAGGGGUUCUGGUACCAACACUCCUUCAUCAGUUUCACCAGAGCAGAGAGAGUCUGAGAGAGGGGAGAAAAGACGACUAUCAAACACGACAUGCAAUAGAAGGAAGCACCAGCCCAAAGGCCCAGAUGUCCACCCUCUUAUAGGCGUCGAAGCAGUCGAUCUGAAUGCUCUCGUCCAGAACCUCGGGGGCCAUGUAGCGCUUGGUGCCCACCUUGGGGUUGUUGCCCACAUCCAGCUGGUUGUCUGCCUGCGAGUGGGUCACAGCCAGCCCUGAAACAGCCAGUUACACACAGCACUUUAGUCAACCUUAGAAACAAUCUGGGCACAUUUAGAAGUUCUGGCAUGGAUAUACACCAGCUGAAAGAGACAAGUCCCACGGUUAGUCUGAUGUAUAAAGUACUACAUAAGAGCUCCAACAGGAAGGGACUGAAAUCCCAGAGACUACCAGAAUAAAAGUGGUAGAAAUAAAAGUCUCUGUGUGCGAUGGCCGGUUUCCCCUCUGUGCCGAAGAUCUCCGUGUGAAGGUGCACCAGGCCGCCGGCUAUCGACGCAGCCAUCGCUAAGCCCUCUGACGUCUCCACGGCAACUCGUUGCAAGUAGUCAUAAAGUGAGCCGUUCUCAUGGUAAUGGGUGAUGAGCCACAGCUGGGUGCUGGAGUUGCGAGACGUCAUGUCAGACGCCAUGAAGCCUGGGAGAAGAGACAGCAUCAUCAAAAUAUGUUUUAUUUGUAUUUGCUGUUAUGUCAAUCUUGGUACCUAUCAGCUAUCAGUGUGAUGAUGCUGGAUUGCAUUAUAUUAUACGCUUUUUAAUGUGUUCACCUCCACAGAAUGUUUCCAACAUUGAGGUGUUAAGAUACAAGGACAUUGAAGGGAUUUGAGAUGUAUCUACAACAAGGAAAUUGUAUUGUAAACUGUAUUCUUGGAAACAAUAUUAAAACACGCUCUGAAAGGAA